Gossypium arboreum is the source of this 1033-nucleotide long non-coding RNA. RefSeq lists it as uncharacterized. The transcript is spliced from 3 exons. Lineage: Eukaryota; Viridiplantae; Streptophyta; Magnoliopsida; Malvales; Malvaceae. The record is from RefSeq and is a predicted model, not a curated record.
AAAAAACUUAAAAGAGGGGUGAGAAAAGACAAAACACCAGCAGACCAACCGUCUGCCACGCAUUAAAACAGUCCCUCCGGUAGAGCAAAAUCCAAAUAGAAAGAAUAACAAUAAACAGAAAAAUAAAAUAAAAAACAAUUAAUACCCCUCUUCAUCCUAAUCUCUUAUCAGCAAUUACACGAAAUGGAACCUCCCCUCUUCCUUUCAGAUGGAAGGCAUGAAAUCAUAGAAUAAAACGAGAGCAUUCCUUCUUGAUCUGAUAAAGUCGGAGUCCAAAAGUCAUCAAUCCUUCAGUCAUUCCUGUUCAAUCACCAUCGGUCCUGAUCUGCCUCUCUUUCCACUCUCUCCGGAGCUUCUUCAAUCCAGCACAUAGAGCAAGCAUGAUACUUCCCUUCCUUAGCCAAUAUAUGAGCAGUGUUGUUUGCUUUUCGAGGUAUCCCCUUCGACCAUAAUCCUUUGAAAACCCAAAUCUUCCGCAAAGAUUAGGGAUUGUAGACAAGCAGGUGCCUCCGCCACUGUGGAAUCCAUCACAUACUCAUUGAGGAAUUACCGAGUAAAGGGGCACUCACGGAACAAGUGGUCCACUGACUUCGCAGCAGAUCGACAAAGAGGGCAAGAAUUAUGAGCAGCGAUCCUUCGCGUCUGUAAAUUAAGUAGCGUAGGCAGAUAGUUAUUAGCAAUUCUCCAUAUUGUUAUCUUAAUUUUUCUCGCCAUGUUUAAGUCCUAUAGUUAAUAUAGAAAGCUUGUAUCAUAGGGGCAUGAAUAGUUGGAUCGUUACUUCGAAGAAGUUGAAUCCUCUGCCAAAAGCCAUUUGUAUCCGCUUUUAGCAGAAUAGACACCUUUGUUGUCCCCUUGCUAUACCAUCUCAUCCUGAUGGGCACUGCUAGAGAGCAGAAUUGCCAGGAUUUGCUUCAAUCUUUCAUCAAAUAGCGAUCUCAAUGUUAGAUUUGGUACUUUAAGCGUAGUAUUUUCAUCUAAAUUCACUUGUAAUAUCGAAUAGAUUGGUUGAUAAAAUUAUUCAUAAUUAUGUUAA